RNAcentral lists this ribosomal RNA (361 nucleotides) under uncultured bacterium. RNAcentral's name for it is "partial 16S ribosomal RNA". It matches the Rfam family "Bacterial small subunit ribosomal RNA", at positions 338 to 696 of the family's 1533-position model. The record is from RNAcentral.
CCUACGGGAGGCAGCAGUGAGGAAUAUUGGUCAAUGGGCUUACGCCUGAACCAGCCAAGUCGCGUGAGGGAAGACUGCCCUAUGGGUUGUAAACCUCUUUUGUCAGGGAGCAAUUGGCGCUACGUGUAGCGUGAUCGAGAGUACCUGAAGAAAAAGCAUCGGCUAACUGCGUCCCAGCAGCCGCGGUUAUACGGAGGAUGCGAGCGGUAUCCGGAUGUAUGGGGUUGAAAGGGCGCGUAGGCGGAUUGCCAAGACAGCGGUAAAAUCGCGGGGCGCAACCCCGCUCCGCCGUUGAAACUGGCGAUAUGGAGUGGGCGAGAGGUAUGCGGAAUGCGAGGUGUAGCGGUGAAAUGCAUAGAUA